RNAcentral lists this ribosomal RNA (518 nucleotides) under uncultured Glomus. RNAcentral describes it as "SSU rRNA". It matches the Rfam family "Eukaryotic small subunit ribosomal RNA", at positions 569 to 1089 of the family's 1831-position model. The record is from RNAcentral. Lineage: Eukaryota; Fungi; Glomeromycota; Glomeromycetes; Glomerales; Glomeraceae.
AGCAGCCGCGGUAAUUCCAACUCCAAUAGCGUAUAUUAAAGUUGUUGCAGUUAAAAAGCUCGUAGUUGAAUUUCGGGGUCAGUAGGUUGGUCAUGCCACUGGUAUGUACUGGUCUCACUGAUUCCUCCUUCCUGAUGGGCCGUAAUGCCAUUAAUUUGGUGUUGCGAGGAAUCUGGACUGUUACUUUGAAAAAAUUAGAGUGUUUAAAGCAGGCUAACGCUUGAAUACAUUAGCAUGGAAUAAUGAAAUAGGACGUUCGAUCUUAUUUUGUUGGUUUCUAAGAUUGACGUAAUGAUUAAUAGGGAUAGUUGGGGGCAUUAGUAUUCAAUUGUCAGAGGUGAAAUUCUUGGAUUUAUUGAAGACUAACUACUGCGAAAGCAUUUGCCAAGGAUGUUUUCAUUAAUCAAGAACGAAAGUUAGGGGAUCGAAGACGAUCAGAUACCGUCGUAGUCUUAACCAUAAACUAUGCCGACUAGGGAUCGGAUGAUGUUAAUUUUUAAUGACUCAUUCGGCGUCCG